RNAcentral lists this transfer RNA (84 nucleotides) under Megasphaera hexanoica. RNAcentral's name for it is "tRNA-Leu". It matches the Rfam family "tRNA". Rfam says of the family: Transfer RNA (tRNA) molecules are approximately 80 nucleotides in length. Their secondary structure includes four short double-helical elements and three loops (D, anti-codon, and T loops). The record is from RNAcentral. Lineage: Bacteria; Bacillati; Bacillota; Negativicutes; Veillonellales; Veillonellaceae. RNAcentral also lists the same sequence under 7 other names.
GCCGGAGUGGCGGAAUGGCAGACGCACCUGACUCAAAAUCAGGCGGGUAACACCGUGGGGGUUCAAGUCCCUUCUCCGGCACCA